RNAcentral lists this long non-coding RNA (254 nucleotides) under Sorghum bicolor (sorghum). Its description in RNAcentral is "long non-coding RNA (SBIC_LNC009636)". The record is from RNAcentral. Lineage: Eukaryota; Viridiplantae; Streptophyta; Magnoliopsida; Poales; Poaceae.
AGUUUUAUUUUAAAUCUCUCAAAAACAUCUGCCCCAAUCCCUCAAAGUCUCGAACAAAGAGGACACCCGCUCGACUCUAUUUUGUUUUCCUGCAACAAUUAUUUUCUCACGACGCCUCACAUCAUGUUCACACCCCCAUCAAAAUUGAGCCAUCAAAGCCUCAAUCAUCUUCCCGGAGAUCGUGUUUGCUGAAAUUGGUUUGCUUCCUAGGGUACUGCAGCACCUCACACCCUGCGAACCUCGGCUAAGGUGUU